AUCUCUCGCUCACGCUCUGGCUCUGAAAGGUGUCUUCUGAUUGUGUAGGGGCCUAUCCAAAUAUGGCGGAAGCAAAAUCCAAUGCAUCAUAUCCAUAUUCGUCAGGCUGAGGCUGUGAAUAAUAGAAUCCGUAUCCGUAUGUUGUCGGAUCUGCAGUCGUAUCCUGUCUUCCUGAACGACCUCGAGGAGCCCGUCUUCUAUAUCCAAUGAUAUCCUCACGAAAUCUAUCAGGUGGUCGAC
RNAcentral lists this long non-coding RNA (240 nucleotides) under Phoenix dactylifera (date palm). RNAcentral's name for it is "long non-coding RNA (PDAC_LNC019800)". The record is from RNAcentral. Lineage: Eukaryota; Viridiplantae; Streptophyta; Magnoliopsida; Arecales; Arecaceae.